This is a long non-coding RNA of Lagopus leucura (white-tailed ptarmigan), 666 nucleotides long. RefSeq lists it as uncharacterized. NCBI's taxonomy places the organism in Eukaryota, Metazoa, Chordata, Aves, Galliformes, Phasianidae. The record is from RefSeq and is a predicted model, not a curated record. The transcript has 3 exons.
AUGCUGUGUGAAUACCAUAGGAAUUCAGGAUAGUUGGGGACUGUUCUGGAGUCAGAUGGGAACUUGAUGUUUGCUGAAGAUAAUGCUGUACUCGUUUGCUGUAUUUGUGUCUUCUGAAACCUGGGGAAUAGGCACCUGACUCACAUGUACUGAUGAACCAGCUUCCUGGGUACGGUUGCUACUGGACACCUGGGUGAUAUCUUUGUCCUUGCACCAGAGUACUGCUUCUAAAUAUGUCCUUUGUGGAGCUGGAGUCCUGCCACAUAAAGAAGACUCACUCUCAAGUUUCAUGUUCAGCUUGAAUAUAGUGAGGUGAAGGGGGAGAGUUUAUCUUAAGAAAGCUGCCCGUGUUUUGGAGGGCUUCUUAAGAUUAAGCAAACUUGACUGUUAAAAUAUUUUAAUUAGCACUUAAUUAACCUCACUGUAUUUGGGAGUUUGAGAAUGAUUUGUCUUCUCCUCUGGCCCUGAGAAAAUUUGUCUCUCUGUAGUGAUUAGUAACACAAAGUAAUGUCAAAUGUUCAUUUUUGUAUCAAAUACGUGGCAGAAACCACUUGUGAAAAUGGCCAUGGGCAGAUGAUUUCUUUGUGCAAUUAAAACUAGGAAUAUUUGUUUGUUUGUGUGCAGCUGUAUAUUUUGAAGAGGAUAAAGAAUAUCGUAGGGCAUAAU